UAGUCAUAUGCUUGUCUCAAAGAUUAAGCCAUGCACGUCUAAGUACAUGCCGACUUAAGGCGAAACCGCGAAUGGCUCAUUAAAUCAGUUACGGUUCACUGUAUUUUAACUUCCUACUUGGAUAACUGUGGUAAUUCUAGAGCUAAUACAUGCCUCGGGUUCUCGACUUGGUGCAGGCAACUGCUAUCAGGAAGAGACGCACUUAUUAGACCAAGACCAGCUCUGCGCAAGCAGACAACUCUGUGGUGACUCUGGAUAAUUAUCGCAUGAUCGCAUGGCCUCGUGCCGGCGACUAAUACAUCAAGUGUCUGCCUUAUCAACUGUCGAUGGUGGGUUAUACGCCCACCAUGGUUGUAACGGGUGACGGGGAAUCAGGGUUCGAUUCCGGAGAGGGAGCCUGAGAAACGGCUACCACAUCCAAGGAAGGCAGCAGGCGCGCAAAUUACUCACUCCCAGCAAACAGGGGAAGUAGUGACGAAAAAUAACGAUGCGGGUCACUGCGUGUGGCUCCGCAAUCGGAAUGAGCACAAUCUAAAUCCUUUAACGAGGAUCAAUU
RNAcentral lists this ribosomal RNA (556 nucleotides) under uncultured eukaryote. RNAcentral describes it as "bacterial SSU rRNA". It matches the Rfam family "Eukaryotic small subunit ribosomal RNA", at positions 21 to 549 of the family's 1831-position model. The record is from RNAcentral.